GUGUUAACAUUUACAUGAUUAAAUAUUUUAUCCUUAGCACUUAUUAUAAUUUUUAUCAUUAUAUAAAUACAUCUCUUCCUUGCUGCAGAACAGAGCCCAGAUUCAGCCUCCGCGAGCAACUCGCUGCCCAGCCGUCCACGUCCGAGCUCCUCACAAGCGCACGCCUCGUUCACACCUCAUCCCAGCAAAGAUCCAGCUUCCGUUCGCUUCUUUCGCAUGUGAGUUCAUCCGUUCGUGUCCCAAGCUUCACAGCAACCGAAAUUCCUGCAUCCAGCUUCUCCCAGAUCUAGGUCCCUGCGUCCACGCUCCUCCCAGCCGUCCGCGUGCACCCUCCCAGCAAAGUCCAGCCAUCCACGCGUUCAUCCAGCCUUUUCCAGCAUCUUGCGAGGCAUCAUCCAGCGCCCCAUCCUUCGAUCCAGUCAUCCGAAUCCCAAGCGCCAGCAGUCCAAGCUUCAUCUUCAGCUCUCACGCGCUCCCGGAUCUUUCUCCCCACCAGCCACAUCAGCCUUCUCAGAUCCAGCGCGUCCCAAGAUCCGUGGUCUAAUUUCCCAGCAUCCCGUGAAGCAUCUCGUCCGCAUCCAUCUGCCCCUUCCACGCGUUCAUCCAGCCACAUCCGCGUCCGAAGAUCCCGGCAUCUCCCGAUUUCAGCAUCCCGUAUCUCAACUCCCAUGCGUUCCAAGCUUCCACAUUCAUAGAGCAUCUUAGCGGCCUCAUGCGAUCAGCCUUCCUCCCUUCCGAUCCAUUCACCUCCAUCCACGCGUCCGUAUUCUCCGCAUGCGAAUCUCCCGCAUCUGCAUCCAAAAAUCCCAGCCGUCCGCGCCUAUUCCCGUGCAAGCUGGAGGGUUCUCACUGUUGGAA
RNAcentral lists this long non-coding RNA (858 nucleotides) under Phoenix dactylifera (date palm). Its description in RNAcentral is "long non-coding RNA (PDAC_LNC009252)". Lineage: Eukaryota; Viridiplantae; Streptophyta; Magnoliopsida; Arecales; Arecaceae. The record is from RNAcentral.